Molecule: non-coding RNA, 21 nt
Filed under: Caenorhabditis elegans
Lineage: Eukaryota; Metazoa; Nematoda; Chromadorea; Rhabditida; Rhabditidae
Source: RNAcentral
UGUACUGUUUUCAAACAAAAA